AAGCACUCUAGAACAUAUAAAUGAGGAAAAAGACUUGGUGAUUCAAAUUGGAUUGAAGAGAUGUCACCCCUACAGAAGAAAUGACCAGAGCUUGAGAGUCUUCCUAUGGCUAUGACUAAGUCCAACAAGAGCUAGCUUCAUAUCUUCUGCUGAUUCAGAAUACAUACUUGGACAUUGAUUUUAUUUCUGAACUUCUUCUUGCUUCUUACUCGUCAAGAUAAAGUUCUCCACAGGGACAGAACCAAUGGGAUAUAUGUAUAUAUUAAAGGGAGAUUAUUAGUGAGAAUUGGCUCAUGUGAUUACAAGGUGAAGUCCCAUAAUAGACUGUCUGCAAGUUGGGGAAAGAAAAGAGUGGCUCACUCCAAGUCCAAAUGCCUCAAAACCAGGGAAGCCAACAGCACAACCUUUAGUCUGCUGCUGAAGGCCCAAGAGCCUAGGGAAGCCACCGGUGCAAGUCGCAGAGUCCAAAGACUGAAGAACCUGGAGUCUGAUGUUCAAGGGCAGGAGAAGUGGAAGCAAGCAUCCACCAUGGGAAAAGGAAGGAAGCCAGGAGACUUGGCAAGCAAUACUAUCCCAUCUUCUUCCACCUGCUCUGCUGGCUGGCGACCCAUUGGAUGAUGCCCACCCACUUUGAGGGUGGGUCUUCUUCUCCCAGUGCACCACCUCAAAUGUCAAUAUUCUCCGGCAAUGGUCUCACAAACACACCCAGAAACAACACAUUACCAACCAUCUAGGCAUCCCUCAGUUCAAUCAAGUUGACACUUAAUAUUAAACAUCACACCAAUUUACCUGAUAUUUGUAAGCCUACUUUUCGGAAUACUUAUUUUGUUCUCUUGAGCUAUGUAAUUAUUUUUAAGCCAACACCUCAUUAUUUUGAUAUCUGAAACUUUAUAGUAAAUAAAAUCAGUUAAUAUAAGGCCUGAUAUCUUUGUUUUCUUUUUGAAAUUUCAUAUCAUUUUGGCUAUUCCAGGUUGUUUGCUUUUCUAAAUUAAUUUUUAGAUUUAGCUUUUCAACUUUUAUUUAUUCAGAAACUGCUACUUUCUUGAUGAGGAUGACUUUGAAUCUGCAGAUAAAUUUUGGAUAAUUGACAUAUUAACAAUAUUGAAUCUCUUGACCAUAAACGUGAUUAUAUCUCCAUUAUUUUAGGUCUUUCUUAACUUUUUUCAGCUUAUUUUAUAGUUUUUAGUAUUCUAUGGCGGUUUCGUAAAGGCUAUAUUAUCUUGUGCUCAUUCAAAUACUUAUCUAAUAUUACUCUCCACUUACAGUCACUAUUUUCCAAAGAAAACACUGUUUCUCUGAUUCUUUUAAAUAUUGUGAUUUUUUUGGGGGGUCCAUGGGAAGGAGUUAGUACCCCUAUGGGCAGGGGAUGGUGAUGAGAAAAGGCAUGAUGUAGAAGACAUGUUGAAAAUAGUGCUGAUAAGAUUUAGUGAUGGAUAGGGUCUAUAAAUUAGCAAAGAAUAAAGAUUUUGUUUUAAGGAACUGUUCAUUGUUUACUGAGAUGGAUGCCUUUUAUAUGCCAGUCAGGCUGUUGUAACAGAUAAACUUUUCUAGCUAUUUUAAAACAUGAACUGAUUUGAAACGGGGAAGUGUGUGCUUGUGGGCUGCAGGCUAAGCUUUGGGGAUUGACUCUUUUGAACUCUGUGCUACAGCAGGAAUUAGAGAAGCCACUGUCCCCACUGCUGGCUCUGUUUUCAGGAUUACCCCACCUUAGCUUAAUCUGAAUGUCAGAAAAUGUGUGCCAAAACUGUCAACUCUGGGGACAUACUGUGCCUGCUAGAUUUGCACCAACAAAACGUGAGAAGUCUGCCAUAGCCUUUUCCCCUGGUUAACUCAGUUUUCAAUUCAUGACUUGUGCAAGAAUUACUGAGUGUCACUACUUAUACCACUCCCAGAACCCUAUCUCAGGGCAGUCUGGGAAAUGCAGCUUUUAACUUACCAACUUUUGCACUAUAAGCUUACAUAUUACACUGUCUUCAAAAGAGAUUUAGCUGGUGUCUUAGUCUGUUUGUGUGGCUAUAAAGGAGUACCUGAGGCUGAGUAACUUACAAAGAAAAGAGCUUUAUUCGGCUCAUGGUUCUGCAGGCUGUACAGGAAGCAAAGCACCAACAUCUGCUUCUGAUGAGGGUCUGAAGCUACUUCCACUCAUAGUAGAAGCAAAGGGGACCAGUGUGUGGAGAUCACAUUGGGAGAGAAGCAGCAGAGAGGGUGGGUGAGGUGCCAGGCUGUUUUUAACAACCAUUUCUCACAGGAGCUAAUAGAGCGAGAACGUACUCUUUACUGCAAGGACAGCAGGAUGCCAUUCAUGAGAGAUCCAAGACCCCCAUGACCCAAAAAUCUCCCAUUAGGCCCCACCUUCAACACUGAGGAUCACAUUUUAAAAUGAGAUUUUGGGGGAUCAAACAAACCAUAUCCAAACUGCACAGCAGCUGGGCUCCAAGUGGGAGAAGUCAGUAUGCAUAGAAUUUGCUAAACUGCUUCACAUCAACUUUGAUACCAGAAAAAUUCUUCACUGAUAUGUGAAGACAGUUUGUCUAGUAGCAGAAUUCCUGGAAAUAAAAUGCCAUUGAAUUUUUUGAGUGUAAUCCCAUCCUCCAAAUACCUAGUUAUUGCAGAGAGCUCUUCUGGAUCAAGAAAAUGAGAUUAAUGUGGUGUCCCAGUUGGUAUUGACUCAUUUACUAAGCUUAGUGAAGUUUAACUCACCUGGGGCAAAUGUCAAGGCCAUUUCAUUUGAGAAGCUUUUUGAAAGGCCUUUUGAGUUGAGGGAAUUAUAUUUUUUUCAGAAAUGAGCUGUUUAUUAUUCCAAAUCUGUCAAUACAAUGGAUCCUAUGAAUUACUAUUAGAACGUGCCCAUUUCUUAUUUCUUGCUAAACUUAUAAGAAAUUUUUCAACAUUCACACCUUUCAGAAUUACUGCUUUCUAAAUGGACAAUGGAUGCUUUUUCUAUUCUUUUAAAUCUUUCAGUUCUGCCAUGAUCUAGGUGUUUAUGUUUGGGAAAGUUAUUUUUUCUCUUUCAGUCUUGUUUUCCUCAUGGAAGAAGCACCAUCCAUCUCAUAGGAUAAUUGCAAGAACUAAGUGAGAUGUUAUAUAAACAAUGUACACAAUAAGUGUUUGUUUCCUAUUCCUUUCUCUCUCCCUUUCUUGCUUUUCCUCUCCUCCCGACUUCUUCUAUAAAUUUUGAUCAGGCUUUUCCUGUAUCUGCUAGUGCUAUCUUUCCUCUUUAGAAUCAGGAGGAGUGGGAUUUCUUAUACUGAGUCCAGACAGCAUCUUUUCUCCUUUCUUAAAGGAUAGAGAAGGUGACCUGCUUCCUAAUAUCUGAUUUAAGAUGCUGAUCCUCAAAGAAACUCUGAAAAAGCAAUUUCAAUUUCUUAUGCUGAGUUUCAGAGGUUGGUUGCAUGCCUAUUUUUGUUAGUUUGUAAAAGGAGGUAAGACUCUGAACAGAUUGAGAAUUAGAGGUUCUGAAGGCUUUAAAAAGGAAAAAAACUCUUAUUUUUGUAGGGGAGUUAAAAGCUGAUUUUAAAACUUAAAAUAAGCCUCAUAUUUCUGGG
This 3545-nucleotide long non-coding RNA is filed under the name Papio anubis (olive baboon). RNAcentral's name for it is "lncRNA (ENSPANG00000049211.1)". The record is from RNAcentral. Lineage: Eukaryota; Metazoa; Chordata; Mammalia; Primates; Cercopithecidae.